CGCAUGCGCUGAAGUGUAGCGCUCGUUUGACAGGCGACUGUUUUAUUCUGUCGGAGACUUCAAUUUAUUAUUUCACAUCAUGUCGCGUUACGGGCGACACGGAGGCGAAACAAAGGUGUAUGUGGGUAAUCUGGGCACUGGAGCAGGUAAAGGUGAGCUGGAGCGGGCGUUUGGAUAUUACGGGCCGCUCAGAACUGUGUGGAUCGCUCGCAACCCUCCAGGAUUCGCCUUCGUGGAGUUUGAAGACCCGAGAGAUGCAGAGGAUGCUGUCCGUGGGAUUGAUGGCAAGAUGAUUUGUGGAUCUCGAGUGCGUGUGGAAUUAUCCACCGGAAUGCCACGGCGUUCCCGAUACGAUCGUCCUCCCACUCGCCGUCCUUUCGACCCGAACGACCGCUGCUACGAGUGUGGCGAGAAGGGCCACUACGCGUACGACUGUCACCGCUACAAUCGCCGUCGACGGAGCAGGUUUCAUCGUUUGAUUCAGAGAGUCACGAUCCUUUACGAUUUCAUGAGGGAUCUUGCAAAUCUCACACUUACGAUCGCCUGCUAUGACUGGGGGACGAGCAGCCACACCCCUUCGCUGAGGCUCCUCCCACUGCUACUUAACUAUUCGUAGCCCCUCCCCCCCAACCCAAACCAGAUGAGAGCGCCAAUCUGAGUAAAUUCGGCUAGCGAUUUGUGUCUACGGUUUUGCUAAAGAGAGCAUCGAGAGCCCUCGAGAGACCACGUCUAGACAAAAGCGCCUUGCACACUUCUAUCAAGUCUCAGUCAAGUGAUUUGGCUGUCAGUGCGAUCAUCGUUAGAAAUCCAAGAGAACGACUAGAUGCAGAGGUCGCCUGACGAUAGAUACUUCUAGAUCGUCUAGAUCUGCGCGACCUUGCGGGUCGACCUGCAGACUUGACAGGUUUAUUUCAAGUACCAAUUAAUGUGUCUCUCUGUAUAUGAUUGCCAUUGAGUGAGCUCAAGUGAGUGGUAAUGUUUAAUGCUGUGAUCUGUGGAACAGAGAGGAUGUGUUGGAUGCUUAAGACAGCUGAGAUCUGUGCUAGGGCUGGGCGAUACAGCUGAAGCAGUGUAAGUGACCAUCAUUUUACUUGGGUCCGUGAUGUGAUGCACCAGAUCUAUUCAAUUACUAAAAACAUUCAAUUAAUGAUCAAGUUGUCUCAACUCAUUUAGGGUGCAAUACAUUUAUUUUAAUACUUUUUACUCGAUAGUUACACAUGACAAUUUAAAAGUCUUUAAAUAUAUUUUUUGUAGAUAAUUCUAUAAACAUAAAAAAAAAAAAAAAUGAAAAACCAACAUGGAUGUAAAGAUCAAAUUUCUACUAAAUGAACAUGAGUUUUAAACUAGGUUUUUUAUUAAAUAAAUUGUUAUAUAUAAUUAUCCUUAAAUAUAUACAGCUCUGGGAAAAAUAGGAUUUACUGGAUUUACUCUUUAUAGGUGUUUGAGUAAAAUGAACAUGUUUGUUUUUAUUCUAUAAAGUAAAUAGUAAAUCCAGAGAAACUGAUUAUUUUGCAGUGGUCUAUUUUUCCAGAGUUGUACACACUCAUUGAAAACUAUUCGAUAGAUCGCUAUUGAUCCACUUAUUCAUGCGGUUAUCUAAUCAGCCAAUCGUGUGACAGCACUGCAGUGUAUAAAUAAUGCAGAUACGGGUCAGGAGCUUCAGUUAAUGUGCACAUCAACCAUCAGAAUGGGGUCAAAUGUGAUCUCAGUGAUUUGGAGGGUGGCAUGAUUGUUGGUGUCAGAUGAGCUGGUUUGAGUAUUUCUGGUAUUUUCACACACACACAAUCUCUAGAAUUUACUCUGAAUGUGCCAAAAACACAAAACAUCCAGUGAGCGGCAGUUCUGCGGAUGGAAACGUCUUGUUGAUGAGAGAGGUCAACAAACAAUGGCCAGAUUGGUUCAAGCUGACAGGAAGGUGACAGUAACCCAAAUAAACUCGUGUUACAACAGUGCUAUGCAGAAAAGCAUUUCUGACACACAACACGUCGAACAUUGAGGCGGAUGGGCUACAGCAGCAGAUGACCCCUCCAGGUACCACUAGAACAGGAAACUGUAAUGAUUGAAACCAUUUUAAAAUAACCAUUUUCCCCCAUUCUGAUGGUUGAUGUGAACAUUAAAUGAAGCUCCUGAUCCGUAUCUGCAUGAUUUUAUGAACUGAACUGCUGCCACAUUAUUGGCUGAUUAGAUAACCGCAUGAAUAACUGGAUGUACUGGUGUACCUGAUAAAGUGAUCACUGAGUGUGUGUGUGUGUGUGUGUAUCAAUAUUUAUCUAUUUGCCCUGAAAUGGCUCAAAAGAGUGGAUUUUGUUUUAAUCAGAUUAUAAUUUCAACCAAAACAGUCCAAAAUGUUAAAUACAAGAAGUAAAAUACCCCUAAAAUAUCUAGUUAAAAUAAUCCAGACCAGUUUUCCACCGUUUUUCAUUAAAUGCACACAAGAAUAAUAUUUAUCAAUAUAUAGAUAUUGGAACAAUAUGGCAAUACAGUAGUUACAAAACAAAUGUUUGAAUCUGACCGUUUGAAUCGAUUCAUGGGAACCGGAUGUACCAGCUCCGGCGGAAAUAUGAGUUUCUCUCAAAACAUGUUCAGAAAAUGUCCUGGUCCUAUUUGACUCUAAAAGCAAAAGAAACAAAUACAACAUUUUAUUUUGCAUAUAGAAAAUGAAGCUUAUUUAAGAUUGUUUUACAUUGUGACAUUAUUGUCAUGUCAGUUAUGCACAUGUAAUCCUCAUUAAUGCAACGCUAGUAAUGAUAGUAAAUAAGACAUUCUCAUGAACGCAAUGUGAAGGAAAAUAUUAUUUAUAUUGUAAAGUAUUCAAGCAUUAUAGUAGUACUCCCUUUUAUUUUCACUGAUUUAAUAUAUUUAAAAAAUCCAAAUGACUUGCAGCAAUGAUAACUGAGGGAGAUAUACUGUUAGAAUAUACUGGAAAUAAUGUACAAUGCAAGAAAUCUUAAUGUCCUAAACAUAGGCUCAUUCAUGUAGGCUUCGUUUUCUUUAUGCAAAAUAUAAAUUAAUAUUUUAUGUAUUGUUUUGUGAUAAUCCCACACAGUUUUAUCUUAAUGAAACUUAAUGACCAAAGUAAAAUGCGCAUUAAAUGAAUUAUUCAGAAUGUUGAUUAAUUUAAUAUCGUCAGCACUAUCACGUCAAAUAAAUAUUAUUGAUGUAUCGCCCAGCUCUAUGUUGUAUUUAUGUGCAAUGUUCAAGUGAUUGUGUAGUUCAGAUGAUUCAGUGAAUCUUUCCAAGUGAUUCCUGAUGUGACACUGACACUGCUCUCUCUGUCCCCUCUGUCCUUCCUCCUCCUCUUCUUCAUUCCUCUGGACUCGUUCAGGUCUCGCUCUCGUGGAAGGAGGUAUGCACGCUCUCGCAGCCGCAGCCGAGGCAGACGAUCCAGGUCUUUCUCUCCUCACCGCUCUCGCUCGGGAUCUCCCAGACGCUCCAGAUCUGGGACGCCCAAGAGAUCCAGAUCCAGAUCCCUG
This is an RNA transcript of Xyrauchen texanus (razorback sucker), 3473 nucleotides long. It is a transcript of the gene named serine/arginine-rich splicing factor 7-like, with no coding region annotated. The record is from RefSeq and is a predicted model, not a curated record. The transcript is spliced from 6 exons. NCBI's taxonomy places the organism in Eukaryota, Metazoa, Chordata, Actinopteri, Cypriniformes, Catostomidae.